GAUCGAUUGGCCCAGUGGUCAAGGCGCCCGCUUUACAUGCAAACACUGCAAAUUCGCGGGAGAUCACAGGUUCGAUCCCUGUAUCGAUCA
Onygenales sp. PD_40 is the source of this 90-nucleotide non-coding RNA. NCBI's taxonomy places the organism in Eukaryota, Fungi, Ascomycota, Eurotiomycetes, Onygenales. The record is from the annotation of a GenBank genome assembly.